GGAUUAGAUACCCUGGUAGUCCACGCAGUAAACGUUGUACACUAGGUGUAGCGGGUAUUGACCCCUGCUGUGCCGGAGCUAACGCAUUAAGUGUACCGCCUGGGGAGUACGGUCGCAAGACUAAAACUCAAAGAAAUUGACGGGGGCCCGCACAAGCGGUGGAGCAUGUGGUUUAAUUCGACGCAACGCGCAGAACCUUACCCAGGCUUGACAUCCUGAGAAUCUGUCCGAGAAGAUAGAGUGCCUUCGGGAACUCAGAGACAGGUGCUGCAUGGCUGUCGUCAGCUCGUGCCG
RNAcentral lists this ribosomal RNA (294 nucleotides) under uncultured bacterium. RNAcentral's name for it is "partial 16S ribosomal RNA". It matches the Rfam family "Bacterial small subunit ribosomal RNA", at positions 775 to 1067 of the family's 1533-position model. The record is from RNAcentral.